CUAGUAAUCGUAGGUCAGCAUACUACGGUGAAUACGUUCCCGGGCCUUGUACACACCGCCCGUCAAACCAUGAGAGUUGGCAACACCCGAAGUCGGUAGUCUAACCGCAAGGAGGACGCCGCCGAAGGUGGGGUUGAUGAUUAGGGUUAAGUCGUAACAAGGUAGC
Molecule: ribosomal RNA, 166 nt
Filed under: uncultured bacterium
Lineage: Bacteria
Description: partial 16S ribosomal RNA
Rfam family: Bacterial small subunit ribosomal RNA
Source: RNAcentral